This 545-nucleotide ribosomal RNA is filed under the name uncultured Ilumatobacter sp. RNAcentral's name for it is "bacterial SSU rRNA". It matches the Rfam family "Bacterial small subunit ribosomal RNA", at positions 376 to 917 of the family's 1533-position model. Lineage: Bacteria; Bacillati; Actinomycetota; Acidimicrobiia; Acidimicrobiales; Ilumatobacteraceae. The record is from RNAcentral.
CGCAGCCUGAUGCAGCACGCCGCGUGCGGGAAGACGGCCCUAGGGUUGUAAACCAGCUUUCAGAAGGGAAGAAAAUGACGGUACCUACAGAAGAAGGUGCGGCCAACUACGUGCCAGCAGCCGCGGUGACACGUAGGCACCAAGCGUUAUCCGGAUUUAUUGGGCGUAAAGAGCUCGUAGGCGGUUUGGUAAGUCGGGUGUGAAAAUCUCAGGGCUUCAACCCUGAGACGCCACCCGAUACUGCGCUAUGUACUAUGAGUACGAGUAGGGGAGCGGGGAACUCCUAGGUGGUAACGUUGAAAUGCGCAAAUUUCAGGAAGAACACCGGUGGCGAAGGCGCCGCUCUGGGCCGUAACUGACGCUGAGGACCGAAAAGCGUGGGUAGCAAACAGGAUUAGAUACCCUGGUAGUCCACGCCGUAAACGUUGGGCACUAGGUGUGGGUCUCAACCAACGAGAUCCAGCGCCGCUCAACUAACGUCAUUAAGUGCCCCGCCUGGGGAGUACGGUCGCAAGACUACAUACACUCAGAAUGAAAUUGACGGA